GACGAACGCUGGCGGCGUGCCUAACACAUGCAAGUCGAGCGGAGAUUGCAGUAAUGUAAUCUUAGCGGCGGACGGGUGAGUAACGCGUGGGCAACCUACCUUUAUCUGGGGGAUAACACAGGGAAACUUGUGCUAAUACCGCAUAAAAUCAUAAGAAGACAUCUUCUAAUGAUCAAAGGAGUAUUCCGGAUAGAGAUGGGCCCGCGUCCGAUUAGCUAGUUGGUGGUGUAACGGACCACCAAGGCGACGAUCGGUAGCCGAACUGAGAGGUUGAUCGGCCACAUUGGGACUGAGACACGGCCCAGACUCCUACGGGAGGCAGCAGUGGGGAAUAUUGCGCAAUGGGGGAAACCCUGACGCAGCAACGCCGCGUGAAGGAUGAAGGUUUUCGGAUCGUAAACUUCUUUGAUGAGGGACGAAUAAAUGACGGUACCUCAAGAACAAGCCACGGCUAACUACGUGCCAGCAGCCGCCGUAA
RNAcentral lists this ribosomal RNA (478 nucleotides) under uncultured bacterium. Its description in RNAcentral is "partial 16S ribosomal RNA". It matches the Rfam family "Bacterial small subunit ribosomal RNA", at positions 28 to 523 of the family's 1533-position model. The record is from RNAcentral.